AAAAAAACAGAGGGAGCAGUGUUUAUUCAGUCCAGAGGCAGGUAUAUUCUUCUCAACUCACGUUUCUAGGGUUCAUCUGGUCAUCGAAGGUCUAAAUCUGUGUACCAUCAAUGGUGAUUCUGAAAUUGCGUGUGCGUAGACGUUUCAUCAGUAAUCUACAAGUCGAUGGUGUCUGUUCAUGUCGGUCUCUAUUCUUAACCUCGGAACCGUUACAAAUCGAAUUGAUUGAACAUCAUUAAUGAAAGCUUAAUUCUUCAUGCCCGCUACAACCACGUUCUUGCAUUCAGUGAUUCUUAUCCUUCAUCAAAGAGGUGAUUCUCAGAUUCUCACCUAUAAAAAGGCUGGGCAUUGUUCUUCCAUGGUGGGGGUGCGGUUGCUCAGAUUCUGCGAACUAAGGUUGUUCCGCUCUUGGAACACAUGAUCAAUAGUUUUUUUAAACAGAUCCCGGCUUAAAAUCUACAAAUUUAUGUUUUUUCAGUUUUAAUACUUUCAGUUCAGUUUGUUGAAUAGGUUUUCCUGGCUACGCUCGUUAGAUCUUUUGUUGCAGUUGAUGAAUUAGAUUCCAACAAUCAAAAGCGUUGUAUCAAGACUGAUCCUGAAACAGAAGCUAUUAGACAUAGUAGAAAGCAAGAUCUGAUGGUUCGACAUGGCACUAUAUUUCUUAUAACCUUCACCUAUGGAAACCAUGACAAUCAUCAUAGUCCAGAACAAGAGGGAACACCAGAAGAUGCUAAAAGGGAAACUUAUAAACAUUAACAAAUGAUGCUUAGUCAAAUGUUGUCUUCCCAAGCCCGAGAAAGAUGUAAGACCCAUCUCAAAUGCUUUGGAGUUCAUCUACUUUUUCUUCUUUUGUUUUUUUAUUUAUUUGAAUUGUAGCUUUAUCCGUGGUAUAUUUUUAACUGUUGCAUUGAGAUUUUGUAAAUUGAGGGUCGAGGGACGUGGCAACAAAUCUGCUGCUGUGAACUAAUCGAGGGACGUGGCAAAUCAGUAGUUUGUGAGGCAGUAAUCAGAGGAGAGAUCAUGAACAAGGCUCUCUAGGUGCAUUCAACUCUCACGCCAGCAAUAUAGUCCUUGAUUUUUUCAUAGCUAUUUUCCAAGAUUCAGCUCAAAACGUGGAGAGCUCUGAGUUCAUCACAUCACAAUGAUGGAAGCCAUUAAUGGGAAAGAUAUCCAUAUCUCUAUCAUUACGCCAACUAUUGAGGUUGGGACAGUGGGAGGAGGAACACAGCUUCCGUCUCAAUCGGCGUAGUUGCACAUGCUAGGCAUCAAAGGAGCGACAACAACAUGAUCUGAAUCUUGCCUUUUCAAAAAGAUUGAGCAUUUCAACAGUGUGGGGAACAUAGGGCGUCCAAGUCUGCACCAUCGCCUUUUCAAGUUGGAGGAAGCAAGAGCAUGUAAAUUUAUACAUUCCAAGACCAAAUCUAAAAGCAACUAAAUUUGGAUCAUGUAUGAAUACCCUUUGAAUAUCUACUCAUCGCAAAAGAAAAAAAUUAUUUCAAAAAUACUGUUGUUAGUUU
Molecule: long non-coding RNA, 1517 nt
Organism: Brassica oleracea var. oleracea
Lineage: Eukaryota; Viridiplantae; Streptophyta; Magnoliopsida; Brassicales; Brassicaceae
Exons: 7
Source: RefSeq, a predicted model, not a curated record